UGCGCAGGCGGCUAGGUGUGUUAGGCGUGAAAGCCCGGGGCUUAACCCCGGAAUUGCACCUAAAACUACAUGGCUAGAACAUUGGAGAGGGUAGCGGAAUUCACGGUGUAGCAGUGAAAUGCGUAGAUAUCGUGAGGAACACCAGAGGCGAAGGCGGCUACCUGGACAAUUGCUGACGCUCAGGCACGAAAGCGUGGGAGCAAACA
This 206-nucleotide ribosomal RNA is filed under the name uncultured bacterium. RNAcentral describes it as "partial 16S ribosomal RNA". It matches the Rfam family "Bacterial small subunit ribosomal RNA", at positions 568 to 774 of the family's 1533-position model. The record is from RNAcentral.